Molecule: ribosomal RNA, 333 nt
Filed under: uncultured eukaryote
Lineage: Eukaryota
Description: partial 18S ribosomal RNA
Rfam family: Eukaryotic small subunit ribosomal RNA
Source: RNAcentral
CCCUUAGAUGUUCGGGGCCGCACGCGCGCUACACUGAAUGAAUCAGCGAGUGUAUGUCCUAGGCCGAAAGGUCCGGGUAACCCGUUGAACCUCAUUCGUGAUUGGGAUAGGGACUUGCAAUUGUUUCCCUUGAACGAGGAAUUCCCAGUAAGCGCGAGUCAUAAGCUCGCGUUGAUUACGUCCCUGCCCUUUGUACACACCGCCCGUCGCUACUACCGAUUGAACGGUUUAGUGAGGGCCUCGGAUUGGUCUCGGCCCGCUCUUUACCGGGCGGCGCCGUUGGUCGAGAAGACGCUCGAACUUGAUCGUUUAGAGGAAGUAAAAGUCGUAACA